Alternaria alternata is the source of this 120-nucleotide ribosomal RNA. Lineage: Eukaryota; Fungi; Ascomycota; Dothideomycetes; Pleosporales; Pleosporaceae. The record is from Rfam.
ACAUACGACCACAGGAUCUUGAGACCACGGCUUCCCGUUCGCUCAGCCCUAGUUAAGCAAGAUACCGGCGGAUUAGUAGUCAGGUGGGUGACCACUGGCGAAUCCCCGCUGUUGUAUGUU